Molecule: ribosomal RNA, 305 nt
Filed under: uncultured bacterium
Lineage: Bacteria
Description: bacterial SSU rRNA
Rfam family: Bacterial small subunit ribosomal RNA
Source: RNAcentral
UUAGCCUACGGGAGGCAGCAGUGGGGGAUAUUGCACAAUGGGGGGAACCCUGAUGCAGCGACGCCGCGUGGGUGAAGAAGCGCCUCGGCGCGUAAAGCCCUGUCAGCAGGGAAGAAAAUGACGGUACCUGACUAAGAAGCCCCGGCUAACUACGUGCCAGCAGCCGCGGUAAUACGUAGGGGGCAAGCGUUAUCCGGAUUUACUGGGUGUAAAGGGAGCGUAGACGGAUAAGCAAGUCUGAUGUGAAAAUCCGGGGCCCAACCCCGGAAUUGCAUUGGAAACUGCAUAUCUAGAGUGUCGGAGAG